RNAcentral lists this ribosomal RNA (484 nucleotides) under uncultured bacterium. RNAcentral describes it as "partial 16S ribosomal RNA". It matches the Rfam family "Bacterial small subunit ribosomal RNA", at positions 30 to 507 of the family's 1533-position model. The record is from RNAcentral.
AUUGAACGCUGGCGGCAGGCCUAACACAUGCAAGUCGAGCGGUUGAACGGAUCUUUCUCCUGUAUUCAGCGGCGGACGGGUGAGUAAUGCCUAGGAAUCUGCCUGGUAGUGGGGGAUUACUUCCUGACACGGGCGCUAAUACCGCAUACGUCCUGAUUGUGAAUGUGUGGUAUCUUCGGACCUCACGCUAUCUGAUUAGCCUAGGUCGGAUUAUCUCGUUGGUGGGGUAACGUCCUACCAAGGCGACGAUCCGUAACUGGUCUGAGAGGAUGAUCUGUCACACUGGAACUGAGACACGGUCCAGACUCCUACGGGAGGCAGCAGUAGGGAAUAUUGGACAAUGGGCGAAAGAAUGAUCCAGCCAUGCCGCGUGUGUGAAGAAGGUCUUCGGAUUGUAAAGCACUUUAAGUGGGGAGGAAGGGCAGUAAGUUAAUACCUGGCUGUUUUGACGGUACCAACAGAAGAAGCACCGGCUAACUACGUG